CAGUUAUACACCACUCCCAGUCUCAUUCCAAAAGCAAAAUAAGAGAUUUUCUAGUCUGAUUUCAGCAAGCAAUCUUUCAGCAAUUGCACAUGACAGAGAUAAUUUCAAGGCAAAUCAGACAUACCCUAAACAAAAAUGGAUCGAUCCUGCAAGAACCCACUUCCAGCACUUAACAAGGGGCUGAUGUUAUGUUCAGAGCGUUCAUUCACCUCCUAUAACAUUGCAGCCACAGUGAAUAACCUUACAGGACAGGCCUGUGAGAUCUCUGUCCUUUCCAGCUCUUCAUUUCAAGCAUUUCUGGGAAGAGAAUGGUGUCUGUUGAUUUGACUAUUUGCUGUCUCCAGAGUGCAGCUGAGCCAUUGUGAGAGCAGGCAAUGAGCCGUGCCCUGUUACUGCGCGCUGCAGAAGUCAGGGCAUGAUACUGAACAAACUCAUUCUCUGUCCUUCACUAUGAUUUGUACUAUCCCACUCUUUAUUGAAUUAAAUGUGUUAAUAAAGGACUUAUGUAGCAGCU
This is a long non-coding RNA of Motacilla alba alba, 514 nucleotides long. RefSeq lists it as uncharacterized. Lineage: Eukaryota; Metazoa; Chordata; Aves; Passeriformes; Motacillidae. The record is from RefSeq and is a predicted model, not a curated record. The transcript is spliced from 2 exons.